RNAcentral lists this small RNA (470 nucleotides) under Arabidopsis thaliana (thale cress). RNAcentral describes it as "ATSL091430". Lineage: Eukaryota; Viridiplantae; Streptophyta; Magnoliopsida; Brassicales; Brassicaceae. The record is from RNAcentral.
GCAAAAUUUAGUUUUGAAUUGGUAUAUAGCCUCACAAAUUUGGUGUUAACGUUGGUACGCAUUUUCUUUCAGCCUCCUCCGUUCCCUGAUUUCAACAUGCCUGAUCACGUAGCAGCUAAAAUAGUCAGCUUAGUUUCUGAGGACGGUGUAGAUAUGUUAAAGGCUUGGAUUCAAUCAGGUCCAGAUGGAAAAGCCGCUGUUUUUUCAAGUGAAACUCUUUCUUCUGUUCGAAUAGAUAAGUCCCCUUUUUUAUUCAUAUGGCUGAAGAAUCGUUUAGUUAUCACAUGUUUUACACCAAAUGCCUCACCGCAAAAAAUCCGUACGCCCUAUAUCUUCAGAGUUUAGUGCUGGCAUUUCAUAUGUUUGAGCUCCAGGAGUCAAUUGCUAUAUUGGAUGGCAUAAAGGACGUUAUCCCACAUGCUGGUCUACUUUACAUCAUGCUCCAUAGUUGCGCUAGAUCAAUUCUGUGG